Molecule: ribosomal RNA, 444 nt
Filed under: uncultured bacterium
Lineage: Bacteria
Description: partial 16S ribosomal RNA
Rfam family: Bacterial small subunit ribosomal RNA
Source: RNAcentral
CCUACGGGAGGCAGCAGUGGGGAAUAUUGGGCAAUGGAGGAAACUCUGACCCAGCAAUGCCGCGUGAAUGAAGAAGGUCUUCGGAUUGUAAAGUUCUUUAGUCAGGGAAGAAUAAAAUGACGGUACCUGAAGAAUAAGCUCCGGCUAACUACGUGCCAGCAGCCGCGGUAAUACGUAGGGAGCAAGCGUUGUUCGGAAUGACUGGGCGUAAAGGGUGCGUAGGCGGUUAUACAAGUUAGAAGGGAAAUACCCAGGGCUUAACUGGCGUGCUGCUUGUAAAACUGUAAGACUUGAGUGCAGUAGAGGGUAGUGGAAUGCCUAGUGUAGCGGUGAAAUGCAUAGAUAUCACGAGGAACCCCGAUUGCGAAGGCAGCCUGCCGGGGUGCGACUGACGCUGAGGCUCGAAGGUGCGGGUAUCAAACAGGAUUAGAUACCCUAGUAGUC